CGGCGCUAAUACCUCAUAAUGCAGCGGAUCCGCAUGGAUAUGUUGUUAAAGGUUUACGCCUUGGGAUAGGCUUGCGUCUGAUUAGCUAGUUGGUGUGGUAACGGCACACCAAGGCUACGAUCAGUAACUGGUCUGAGAGGAUGAUCAGUCACACUGGAACUGAGACACGGUCCAGACUCCUACGGGAGGCAGCAGUGAGGAAUAUUGGGCAAUGCUCGAAAGAGUGACCCAGCAACGCCGCGUGGAGGAUGAAGGUAUUCUAUAUCGUAAACUCCUGUGAGAGCAGACGAAAGACAGAUUAUUAAUCUGGAUGACUGUAUGCUCAGAGGAAGCCCCGGCUAACUACGUG
This 349-nucleotide ribosomal RNA is filed under the name uncultured bacterium. Its description in RNAcentral is "bacterial SSU rRNA". It matches the Rfam family "Bacterial small subunit ribosomal RNA", at positions 158 to 507 of the family's 1533-position model. The record is from RNAcentral.